Molecule: ribosomal RNA, 31 nt
Filed under: uncultured fungus
Lineage: Eukaryota; Fungi
Description: partial 5.8S ribosomal RNA
Source: RNAcentral
CAACAACGGAUCUCUUGGCUCUCGCAUCGAU